This 219-nucleotide long non-coding RNA is filed under the name Ananas comosus (pineapple). RNAcentral's name for it is "long non-coding RNA (ACOM_LNC041387)". Lineage: Eukaryota; Viridiplantae; Streptophyta; Magnoliopsida; Poales; Bromeliaceae. The record is from RNAcentral.
AUAAAAGUAUGAUCAACACGACAAAAAAUCGAUAUCAUUAAAAUUUUAUAUUUACUAAAUGCAUUUCUAGAUUUAUCCUCAGCUCAAAUUAUUAAGAUUACGAAUUCGUAGUUGGUACCCGAGACCCAAGUUCGAAUCCUAAUUUAUUCACAUUUCUAGCUAUGUUUAUUUCUAGCUAUAUUUAUUUCUAAAUGAAAUAAAUAAAGCGGAUAGCGGACU